GACGAACGCUGGCGGCGUGCUUAACACAUGCAAGUCGAACGGAAAGGCCUGCUUUCCCUUGUGGAUUGCGGGUACUCGAGUGGCGAACGGGUGAGUAACACGUGAGUGAUAUGCCCCCAACACUGGAAUAAGCCUGGGCAACUGGGUCUAAUUCCCGCCAGGACCGCAGGGUGGGGCGUGUGGUGGAAAACGAUGUUCUAGUGGUUGGGGAUGAGCUGGUGGCCUUUCAGCUUGUUGCUGGGGUAAUGUCUUACGAAGGCUGCGUCGGGUAGGCGGCCUGGGAGGGCGGGCGGGCACAGUGGAACUGACAUACUGCCCAGGCUCCUCCGGCAGGAAUCAGUGGGGAAGAUUGCGCGAGGGACGGAGGCCUGAGGCAGCGACGCCGCGUGGGGGAUGACGGGCUUCGGGUUGUGAACUCCUUUCGGCCGCGCGGAUGCCACCUGGUUGGAGGGGUGGUGACGGUAGUGGUAGAAGAAGCACCGGCUAACUACGUG
RNAcentral lists this ribosomal RNA (494 nucleotides) under uncultured bacterium. RNAcentral's name for it is "partial 16S ribosomal RNA". It matches the Rfam family "Bacterial small subunit ribosomal RNA", at positions 28 to 507 of the family's 1533-position model. The record is from RNAcentral.